RNAcentral lists this ribosomal RNA (32 nucleotides) under Melampodium americanum. The record is from RNAcentral. Lineage: Eukaryota; Viridiplantae; Streptophyta; Magnoliopsida; Asterales; Asteraceae. RNAcentral also lists the same sequence under 4 other names.
UGACCCCCUGGGAAGUCCUCGUGUUGCAACCC